CCCGCACGCAAACCCAAAGGUCAUUUCCCCCCAGUGUCAUGCCCUUGCUAUGUGUGCGCAAAGAAAAACCGAACCUUGUCGCCUUUCUUAGGCUGUCAAACGUGCCGCUGAAAGUGAAUUCAAGGUGCGACAUGU
This is a small nucleolar RNA of Megalobrama amblycephala (Wuchang bream), 135 nucleotides long. RefSeq annotates it as small nucleolar RNA SNORA68. The transcript has a single exon. The record is from RefSeq and is a predicted model, not a curated record. Lineage: Eukaryota; Metazoa; Chordata; Actinopteri; Cypriniformes; Xenocyprididae.